Molecule: ribosomal RNA, 214 nt
Filed under: Synura petersenii
Lineage: Eukaryota; Synurophyceae; Synurales; Mallomonadaceae
Description: partial 18S ribosomal RNA
Rfam family: Eukaryotic small subunit ribosomal RNA
Source: RNAcentral
CGCUCGCAUUGAUUACGUCCCUGCCCUUUGUACACACCGCCCGUCGCACCUACCGAUUGAAUGAUUCGGUGAAAAUUCUGGACUGUGGCUCGGACGCCUUCGGGCGACCUUGCUGUGGGAAGUUAUUUAAACCUCAUCAUUUAGAGGAAGGUGAAGUCGUAACAAGGUUUCCGUAGGUGAACCUGCGGAAGGAUCAUUACCACACCCUCAAAUA